This 444-nucleotide ribosomal RNA is filed under the name uncultured prokaryote. Its description in RNAcentral is "bacterial SSU rRNA". It matches the Rfam family "Bacterial small subunit ribosomal RNA", at positions 355 to 796 of the family's 1533-position model. The record is from RNAcentral.
UAAGGAAUAUUGGACAAUGGACGCGAGUCUGAUCCAGCCAUCCCGCGUGUAGGAUGACGGCCCUACGGGUUGUAAACUACUUUUAUUAGGGAAGAAAUCUGUUUAUUUAUGACCAGUUGACGGUACCUAAUGAAUAAGCACCGGCUAACUCCGUGCCAGCAGCCGCGGUAAUACGGAGGGUGCAAGCGUUAUCCGGAAUCACUGGGUUUAAAGGGAGCGUAGGCGGCAUAAUAAGUCAGAGGUGAAAGGCUGUAGCUCAACUAUGGAAUUGCCUUUGAUACUGUUGUGCUUGAAUCAAGUUGAGGUCGGCAGAAUGUGACAUGUAGCGGUGAAAUGCAUAGAUAUGUCAUAGAAUACCAAUUGCGAAGGCAGCUGGCUGGACUUGUAUUGACGCUGAGGCUCGAAAGCGUGGGGAGCAAACAGGAUUAGAUACCCCCGUAGUCC